CCAAAAACACCCUGAAAGAAGGCUCAAAAUUACAAUGCAAAAACAUUUUCGCGAAAAACACCCUGGAGAAAUUGUGGCAUCACCUGUCACUCCCCCGGCCCCAACAAAAGCAAGGGGCAAGCCAAGUAAAGAAAGGAGUAGUAUAGAUCGAUAGGGAUGCAGCGCACUAGUACGAGUACUACUUCUACUACAUAGCCAUAGCUUAGCUUCUUGUUCUAGCUCGGCUGCGAGCGAGCUCUUCUUCCUCUGGGGGAAAAUGGAGCUCUUCCUCUGCUCUUCACUGCCUCAGUGGCGCCGCUCCCACUGAUCUCUCUCUCGUCUUCUUCUUCUUUGAGCUUGCUUUGCUGCACACUCUAGUGGUGGUAAUAGAACACAGCUCAGCAGCAGCAGCGGAGCAAGAAGCCAAGAAGCCAAGAAGCAACGAGUGUUGUGGUAAAGAAAGCGGAGGAGGAGGACGAAGAAGCUCGAUUGCUUGCUUGCUGUGGAGCUCGCCAUGGACGCCUACGAGGCGACCAAGGUGGUGUUCUCGCGGAUCCAGGCGCUCGACCCGGACCACGCAGCCAAGAUCAUGGGCUUCCUCCUCAUCCAGGACCAUGGCGAGAAGGAGAUGAUACGCCUCGCUUUCGGCCCCGAGGCGCUGCUCCACACCGUCAUGGCCAAGGCCAGGAAGGAGCUCGGCCUCCUCCCGGCGUCCGGGCCCGGGACGCCCACCUCCGUGGCGGCGGCCGCGGCCGCCGCCCACUCGCCCUUCAUGCUCUCGCGGCAGAACUCCGGGCGCUGCGGCACCGCGCCCUCGCCGCUCUCGGUGUCCUCCCCCUCCUCGUGGGCGCCUCCCCCGGUGUUUUCGAGGAACAACAGCAUCAGCAAUGGCGCCGGGGAGGAGAUGGUCGGCCUCGGCGACGAGCUCAUCAGCCCGGCCAACGGCGGGGGCCCGCCAUCGCCCUUCUUCGGCGGCGACCCGCUCAUGGACGAGCUCCAGCUGCAGGACCAGCUCGCGUUCCUCAACGAGGGCGGCGUCCCCGCGGGGCACCAGAUGCCCAUGUUCGACGGCGGCGAGUGCCGGAGCCCCGGCGGAGGCGACGGCGGCCUUUUCUCCUACAACCUAGGGUGGGCGAACGGUGGCCCCGGACACCGCCGGAGCGCGUCGGUCAGCGAGCUCUGCCUCGGCGGCGCCGACGGCCUCGGCUGGAAGCCGUGCCUCUACUACGCGCGCGGCUACUGCAAGAACGGCAGCGCUUGCCGGUUCGUCCACGGCGGCCUCCCCGACGACGCCGCCGGCAAGAUGGACCCCUCCGCCGUGGAGCAGCAGUGUCAGGACUUCCUCAUCCGCUCCAAGUCCCAGCGCCUCGCCGCCGCCGCCUUCCCCUACUCGCCCACCGGCUCACUCCCCGGCUCGCCAUCCGCAGCCACCAAGUGUUUGAGCUUGCUCCUCCAGCAGCAGCAGCAGCAGAACGAGAGCCAGAGGGCGGCGGCAGCGGCGGCGCUGAUGCUAGGCGGCGACGAGGCGCACAAGUUCAUGGGGCGGCCGCGGCUGGAGCGCGCCGACUUCGCGAGCAUGAUGAACCCCGGCUCGCGCCAGAUUUACCUCACCUUCCCGGCGGAUAGCACCUUCCGCGAGGAGGACGUCUCCAACUACUUCAGCAUCUACGGCCCCGUCCACGACGUUCGCAUCCCGUACCAGCAGAAGCGCAUGUUCGGCUUCGUCACCUUCGUCUACCCGGAGACGGUGAAGCUGAUUCUCGCCAAGGGCAACCCGCACUUCAUCUGCGACGCCCGCGUGCUCGUCAAGCCAUACAAGGAGAAGGGCAAGGUCCCCGACAAGUACAGGAAGCAGCACCAGCCGGGCGAGAGGGUGGACUUCUCCAGCUGCACUACUCCAACUGGACUCGAUGCCAGAGACCCCUUCGACAUGCACCAGCUCGGUGCGAGAAUGCUGCAGCACUCCAACAGCGCGAAUGAGAUGCUGCUGAGGAGGAAGCUGGAGGAGCAGCAGCAGGCCGCCGAGCUGCAGCAGGCGAUCGAGCUCCACAGCCGCCGCCUCAUGGGGCUGCAGCUGCUAGACUUCAAGUCGCGCGCCGCCGCGGCGCCGACCCCCAUUGGCAAUCCUUUCAGCGCUUCUCAGACCGCCGCCAACGCGACCGGCGAGUCGCCUCCCGAUUCCGGGGAGCUCGGUAAGGGAAGCGGCUUCCUUCUUGCUCACAAGAAGGCGGUCAACGGAGCCGAUAAGGAGGAAUCCACCGGAGAGUCCUCCAGCCCUAACACAGACAGUGACCAAAGUGUGGAGCAUAAUCUGCCGGACAGCCCGUUUGCGUCGCCGACCAAGUCCGCGGGAUUUGCUCGCGAUCCUUUCGCUCCCACUGAGGCGGAGAUCUCCGCCACCGCGUCGACUGGUUGUAGCGCCACCUAUGUUGGCAUCAACAAUGGCGCCAGCAAUGGCGGCACUAACCAUCUCCUACCUUCUGCCUUGGACAUGCCCUCACCAAAACCUUAUUUCUUCCCCAUGUCCAGGUAUGCAUCAUAAUAAUGCUGGCCUCCGAUCACGGCGCGAUCGGAAUGUAAAGUUGUUCUGAAUGGAAGUGAGUAAUACUACUACUGCCUAAUCCUAGAAUACUAGCAGCAAAGAAAAAGAGAAUAGUGGAAUAUAGGAAAAGAGUGGAGAAGUUGCAGCAUAGUGUUAGUUUCAGUCACCCCCCUUUUUUUUUACUUUCCUUUUCUUUUUCAUUUUUCAAGAAGAUAGCUUUAUUAAACCAUAAAGAGAAGAAAGAGGAUGCCCUGGCCUCCAGAAGAGAAGCAGCAGCAGCAGCAUCAAUCAAGCCACCACCAACCACACCACCAAUGUUUUAAAAUGCAGUGCCAUUCAGAUAAAAAUUUAGAGCCCCUCCUAUUACUACCAUAUCAUAUCACCUUAGUUAAUCUUAGUUACUAUUACCACCCACCGACCCACCACCAUUGAUGAAUUACCCCCCAAAGCUCUUGAUAAGCUACCACCAAAAUAGCCACUAGUUUUAUAGCAUUAGGGGUGAUGUUUAGCCACAAGACUAGUACUAGUACCAACCACAAGAUACAUGUAACACUACUACUGCCUGAUUGCAGCUGUGUGCAAGGCAGUGAGUACAGCAGAUAUGUAAUGGACCCAAGAACAAGUGACAGGUUUGAGUGAGAGAGAGAGAGAGAGAGAGGAAGGCUUAAUUAGCUAGUGUAGUGUAUGUAAAAUCACAAGAAGAUGAACAAGUCAGUCAGUGUAGGUGUGAUGAAAGGGGAAGGACCACUCACUGCUGAUGCUGCACCAUUCUGUUGUGCCAAUGUGGAGAUGUGUCAGCGUUGGUGUUCAUGGUCCCCCUGAUCAGCAAAUGCAGUCCCAAUACAAGAAAAAAAAAGGAAGUUUCUUUUUUUCUUUUAUAAUUUCUUCAUGGCCUUCGCCUCAUACCAUAUGUAUUUCUCUGAAUGAGUUGAAUCA
RNA transcript from Oryza sativa Japonica Group (Japanese rice), 3457 nucleotides. It is a transcript of the gene named zinc finger CCCH domain-containing protein 53-like, with no coding region annotated. The record is from RefSeq and is marked validated. NCBI's taxonomy places the organism in Eukaryota, Viridiplantae, Streptophyta, Magnoliopsida, Poales, Poaceae.